Molecule: transfer RNA, 57 nt
Filed under: Friedmanniomyces endolithicus
Lineage: Eukaryota; Fungi; Ascomycota; Dothideomycetes; Mycosphaerellales; Teratosphaeriaceae
Description: tRNA-Met
Rfam family: tRNA
About the family: Transfer RNA (tRNA) molecules are approximately 80 nucleotides in length. Their secondary structure includes four short double-helical elements and three loops (D, anti-codon, and T loops).
Source: RNAcentral
GCUCAGAUGGUUAGAGCGGUGGAUUCAUAACCCACAGGUCGGCGGUUCGAUCCCGCC